GUCCACGCCGUAACGAUGGAUACUAGCUGUUGGGCGCAAGUUCAGUGGCUAAGCGAAGUGAUAAGUAUCCCACCUGGGAGUACGUUCGCAAGAAUGAACUCAAGGAAUUGACGGGCCCGCACAAGCGGUGGAGCAUGUGGUUUAAUUCGAUGAUACGCGAGGAACCUUACCAAGGCUUAAAUGUAGAUUGACCGUUUUGGAAACAGAACUUUUCGCAAGACAAUUUACAAGGUGCUGCAUGGUUGUCGU
This 249-nucleotide ribosomal RNA is filed under the name uncultured bacterium. RNAcentral describes it as "partial 16S ribosomal RNA". It matches the Rfam family "Bacterial small subunit ribosomal RNA", at positions 793 to 1055 of the family's 1533-position model. The record is from RNAcentral.